AUAAUACCCCCUCCGUCCAGAAUUACUUGUCAUCAAAAUGGAUGUGUCUAGAACUAAAAUACAUCUAGACACAUCCAUUUCAAUGACAAGUAUUUUCGGACGGAGGGAGUAGUAG
Molecule: non-coding RNA, 115 nt
Organism: Triticum aestivum (bread wheat)
Lineage: Eukaryota; Viridiplantae; Streptophyta; Magnoliopsida; Poales; Poaceae
Source: Rfam